RNAcentral lists this transfer-messenger RNA (354 nucleotides) under Chitinivibrio alkaliphilus ACht1. It matches the Rfam family "transfer-messenger RNA". Rfam says of the family: Bacterial tmRNA, also known as 10Sa RNA or SsrA, is named for its dual tRNA and mRNA-like properties. Its role is to liberate the mRNA from a stalled ribosome. To accomplish this part of the tmRNA is used as a reading frame that ends in a translation stop signal. The record is from Rfam by way of RNAcentral. RNAcentral also lists the same sequence under 1 other name. Lineage: Bacteria; Pseudomonadati; Fibrobacterota; Chitinivibrionia; Chitinivibrionales; Chitinivibrionaceae.
GGGGGUGUACAGGUUUUCGACGGCUUGUAGGAUCUUUGAACAGCAUGUCGAGGAUAAUGGUUGGCCUCGUUAAUCAUCCAUUAAACAAUAACUGCUGAAGAUUACAACUACGCAGUAGCAGCGUAACAACGCUGCGACUCCUUUGAGCCAUUGUCGUUCGUGGCUUUGGGGAGUAUAAAACAGAACGAUCGACAGUGAGAGGGCAUUGGCUCGCUGUUUAAAUUAAGAUGCUGGUUGCUGUGUAUGCCUGUCUUUCGGCUGACACUGCAACGAGAUACAAUAGAAAGACUAAGCAUGUAGCGGUUCAAUCUGAAUACUUGUCGGACAGGGGUUCGAUUCCCCUCACCUCCACCA